AUUGAACGCUGGCGGCAUGCCUUACACAUGCAAGUCGAACGGUAACGCGGGGCAACCUGGCGACGAGUGGCGAACGGGUGAGUAAUGCAUCGGAACGUGCCUGGUAGUGGGGGAUAACUGCUCGAAAGAGCAGCUAAUACCGCAUACGACCUGAGGGUGAAAGGGGUGGAUCGCAAGACCUCUCGCUACCAGAGCGGCCGAUGUCGGGUUAGCUAGUUGGUGGGGUAAAGGCACACUAAGGCAACGAUCCGUAGCUGGUCUGAGAGGACGACCAGCCACACUGGGACUGAGACACGGCCCAGACUCCUACGGGAGUCAGCAGUGGGGAAUUUUGGACAAUGGACGCAAGUAUGAUCCAGCCAUGCCGCGUGCGGGAAGAAGGCCUUCGGGUUGUAAACCGCUUUUGUCAGGGAAGAAAUCUUCUGGGUUAAUACCUCGGGAGGAUGACGGUACCUGAAGAAUAAGCACCGGCUAACUACGUGCCAGCCGCCGCCGUAA
This 498-nucleotide ribosomal RNA is filed under the name uncultured bacterium. Its description in RNAcentral is "partial 16S ribosomal RNA". It matches the Rfam family "Bacterial small subunit ribosomal RNA", at positions 30 to 523 of the family's 1533-position model. The record is from RNAcentral.